AUUGAACGCUGGCGGCAUGCUUUACACAUGCAAGUCGAACGGCAGCGCGGGCUUCGGCCUGGCGGCGAGUGGCGAACGGGUGAGUAAUGCAUCGGAACGUGCCCAGUAGUGGGGGAUAGCCCGGCGAAAGCCGGGUUAAUACCGCAUACGACCUGCGGGUGAAAUCGGGGGACCGAAAGGCCUCGCGCUAUUGGAGCGGCCGCUGUCGGAUUAGCUAGUUGGUGGGGUAAAGGCUUACCAAGGCGACGAUCCGUAGCUGGUCUGAGAGGACGACCAGCCACACUGGGACUGAGACACGGCCCAGACUCCUACGGGAGGCAGCAGUGGGGAAUUUUGGACAAUGGGGGCAACCCUGAUCCAGCCAUGCCGCGUGCGGGAAGAAGGCCUUCGGGUUGUAAACCGCUUUUGUUCGGGAAGAAAUCCUCUGGGCUAAUACCCCGGGGGGCUGACGGUACCGGAAGAAUAAGCACCGGCUAACUACGUG
This 484-nucleotide ribosomal RNA is filed under the name uncultured bacterium. RNAcentral describes it as "partial 16S ribosomal RNA". It matches the Rfam family "Bacterial small subunit ribosomal RNA", at positions 28 to 507 of the family's 1533-position model. The record is from RNAcentral.